This 494-nucleotide ribosomal RNA is filed under the name Veillonella parvula. RNAcentral describes it as "bacterial SSU rRNA". It matches the Rfam family "Bacterial small subunit ribosomal RNA", at positions 28 to 492 of the family's 1533-position model. Lineage: Bacteria; Bacillati; Bacillota; Negativicutes; Veillonellales; Veillonellaceae. The record is from RNAcentral.
GACGAACGCGGCGGCGUGCUUAACACAUGCAAGUCGAACGAAGAGCGAUGGAAGCUUGCUUCUAUCAAUCUUAGUGGCGAACGGGUGAGUAACGCGUAAUCAACCUGCCCUUCAGAGGGGGACAACAGUUGAAAACGACUGCUAAUACCGCAUACGAUCUAAUCUCGGCAUCGAGGAUAGAUGAAAGGUGGCCUCUACAUGUAAGCUAUCACUGAAGGAGGGGAUUGCGUCUGAUUAGCUAGUUGGAGGGGUAACGGCCCACCAAGGCGAUGAUCAGUAGCCGGUCUGAGAGGAUGAACGGCCACAUUGGGACUGAGACACGGCCCAGACUCCUACGGGAGGCAGCAGUGGGGAAUCUUCCGCAAUGGACGAAAGUCUGACGGAGCAACGCCGCGUGAGUGAUGACGGCCUUCGGGUUGUAAAGCUCUGUUAAUCGGGACGAAAGGCCUUCUUGCGAAUAGUGAGAAGGAUUGACGGUACCGGAAUAGAAAGCC